CUUGCCUCGCAGUCGCGGCUGUUUUCACGGACGAACUUCGUCUGUGAAACGAUUUAGCUUAGCUUUGGAAGAAAUCAAUUGCUGGACUGAAAUAGUUUCAGCUUCCGUAAAUACGACAUUCUUGCUCUUUGAUAGAGUUGGGAACAGAAUCCAAGUUACCUCAAAAUGGCAGUAACACUGGCAAUCUCCUUUUAUUAAGGAAGCAGCCCCUCCAGCGCCACCUCUUCCACACGCCAACAAGAAAUUGACCUUCAACAUCCCGAUUGCACCCACACCGAUCCCUCAACAUGCUGCCAUGCCAUUCUCUAGUGGUGAAAAUUAUCCAGUCCAAGAGUCGCUAGAAAACCAACAUGAUGGCCAGGCUGCAUUUCCUUCACCACCACUGACAGUGCAACCUCAGACUGGUUCCAACCUUCUGGUGUGCCAAGGAGAAGACUUUGAACCUGAUGAGAAAUGGCAUCCAGUCCAGGAAACAGACCCGGCACCACAGACACAAAGUGGUCCUCUGGUGGAUAACCUUGGCUCUCUAAUGGAACAGCUUGGGCCUGAAACUGCUCACUGUAAUACAUAGGCCUUAAUAUACCAGGUAGUACAUUACAUAUGUUUUCAUAUUGCUUUAUAGAACAGCUGUUCGUGAUCAAAUGAUUUGAUUGGCAGGUAGUCCGGGGUUUAUUUACUAUGGGAGCCACAUCAUUUCGCUUGUAUUAGUUCAACUUGUAACAGCUGAUCAAGUGUUUGUGCCAAAACAAUAAUAGACAAACAAACUAAAUAGUUGUAUACCUAAAAAGCUGCAAGCUAGAUAGCAGUUAGGGCUGAAUGAUAUAUGAAAAAAUGGACACAGGUAUUUUUGCAAGGUGCUGAAAUAUUAAAGAAAAAUAGAAUUUAGGUAUAUUCACUAAAUAUGUGCAGCUUUUAGCUUCAGUAGCUCCAUUUGGAAAGAAUUUCUUACUUUAGUAAUGUUGAGAUUGAUAUUAGAAAGAGAAAUAUGGCAGUUGUGCAAUACUCUGGGUGGCUCAAUAUGACACCAGUGUUUUCAGUUAAUACCCACCUGUCAAUCCUGACUUGUCCAUGGUCAUCACAAUAUUUAUUAUGCAUUUUCUUUACCUUAAGAGGGAUCCUCUGUGAAUUGGUGGAAGAAAGGGUUUGGAAAGAAUUCAAGGAAGAUGACUAAAGGCAGAGGAAAAAGACAAAGAAGACAGAGGCUUUUUUUAAUGCUUUAUUUUUCAUUUUAUUGUAUUUCACGUCUAUAAACUACAUUAGGGGAAUCUGACUUUAGGUCAUUCUUAAUAUUAUUUCAUUAUUUAUUUCAAAAUACUGAAAAGAUUUUAUCGAUUGGUCCAGCUUAAUUUCCGUCAAUCUUCAUGUAUCCUGCUGUGAAAUGUAAAUGCAAGAAGUUGGUAAAUAAGAUUCAAAACACGUUUGACACUAAUUUUAAUUUUAUGUUUCCUUUAAUAUUAAUGAUUUCAUAGAGCAUAAAAGUAAGCCUAUACUGUAUCUGCUUUCUCUAUAUGAGGUCUCUCAUAUGGAGAAAGCAGAGCAAAUAUGAGCAUAAUGCAUGUUUAGAAGUUCGUUGCCAUUCUGCAAAUUUCAAGACGAAUAGAGCCAUUAAAUGUGCAAUAGACCACUCCUGACCCCACACCUUGAUUCCUCAGCCAGCUAUUAUUUCCACCCAGCGAGACACCACACCCCGAGUGUAAAACAUAGGCUUUAGUUUACUAUGCAUAGAAGUGAGACAGUCCAUGGUAUGUGACCAAGAGACUGAUUUUAAAGGUACAAUCCUAAAGAUUUACAUGUAAACAAAUAUCCUUUUAUAUCUUUCUAUUGCUCGCAUGUUUAAAACAAAACUAUCUGAAUAUCCAAAUUGGAGCUUUUGUAGUUGCUCAGUUCAGUGGUUACUGCUGAGCUGGACUUUCCCAGGGACAGUGGUAUGGCUCAUAGCUUUAUACAUCUUCACCAUAGUCUAAAUUGAGACCAAUAAGGCAGAUAGCUGCAAAUUUGAGGAAGAAAGGAAGCCACUGCUAGCCACAAUGACUUGUGGCUAGCAAGCAGAUGGUAGAUCCUGCUUUUAGAAGACCUUUAUUACCAAAUGCUAGAACGUCAGUUGUUUCUGUUAUAUUAUGAAUGUGUCUCGGGAAUUUGAAGUGGUGAAACACCAGUGCAGUUGCCACUGUCACCACGUGUGACAGUAAGUUUAACAAAAGCAACAAUCUUCAGGAUAGUAAUGUUUAGAGCAAAGAUAUCGGGCAAGAUUAAUCGAGACUCAAAUAAUGAAUGGAAAUAAUUUCUACAAGAUUUGCAAGUUGGCACAAUGUCACUUAGUUCACGUGUAUACCUCACAUGAAACUUUCAAGCAACACUCGUCUUAAGCCUUUGACUGUGAUGAACUACGUUAUUCAGUGGUUAAUGUAUUUACAUUUUCUGUUGGCCCCUGAUGAACAAUGACUCUGGUUCCAGUAGUUAUGCUCUGUUCUACUCUGUAAAAGAUAGAAACUACAUGUCAUUCAAGUAUGUUGACUGCACAGUAUUGGAAUAAAUGGGCAUAAUCAUACAA
Lampris incognitus (smalleye Pacific opah) is the source of this 2551-nucleotide long non-coding RNA. RefSeq lists it as uncharacterized. The record is from RefSeq and is a predicted model, not a curated record. NCBI's taxonomy places the organism in Eukaryota, Metazoa, Chordata, Actinopteri, Lampriformes, Lampridae. The transcript is spliced from 3 exons.